Molecule: ribosomal RNA, 371 nt
Filed under: uncultured Chlorobiota bacterium
Lineage: Bacteria; Pseudomonadati; Chlorobiota
Description: bacterial SSU rRNA
Rfam family: Bacterial small subunit ribosomal RNA
Source: RNAcentral
AAAACGUAGGAUCCGAGCGUUGUCCGGAAUCACUGGGUGUAAAGGGUGCGUAGGCGGGCUUGCGCGUCAAGGGUUAAAGACCUCGGCUCAACCGAGGCAAUGCCCUUGAUACGGCUAGCCUUGAGUGCGGGAGAGGAUGGUGGAAUUCCUGGUGUAGCGGUGAAAUGCGUAGAGAUCAGGAGGAACACCGAAGGCGAAGGCAGCCAUCUGGACCGCCACUGACGCUGAGGCACGAAAGCGGGGGGAGCAAACAGGAUUAGAUACCCUGGUAGUCCACGCCCUAAACGAUGUACGCUUGGCGUCGGGGCUUUAGCCUCGGUGCCGGAGGUAACCCGUUAAGCGUACCACCUGGGGAGUACGGUCGCAAGGCU